CAACUUUCAACAACGGAUCUCUUGGCUCUCGCAUCGAUGAAGAACGCAGCGAAAUGCGAUAACUAAUGUGAAUUGCAGAAUUCAGUGAAUCAUCGAGUCCUUGAACGCACCUUGCGCCCUUUGGUAUUCCGAAGGGCAUGCCUGUUUGAGUGUCAUUA
Molecule: ribosomal RNA, 158 nt
Filed under: Armillaria sp. HKAS83361
Lineage: Eukaryota; Fungi; Basidiomycota; Agaricomycetes; Agaricales; Physalacriaceae
Description: 5.8S ribosomal RNA
Rfam family: 5.8S ribosomal RNA
About the family: 5.8S ribosomal RNA (5.8S rRNA) is a component of the large subunit of the eukaryotic ribosome. It is transcribed by RNA polymerase I as part of the 45S precursor that also contains 18S and 28S rRNA.
Source: RNAcentral